RNAcentral lists this ribosomal RNA (465 nucleotides) under uncultured bacterium. Its description in RNAcentral is "partial 16S ribosomal RNA". It matches the Rfam family "Bacterial small subunit ribosomal RNA", at positions 331 to 794 of the family's 1533-position model. The record is from RNAcentral.
CCAGACUCCUACGGGAGGCAGCAGUGAGGAAUAUUGGUCAAUGGGCGCUAGCCUGAACCAGCCAAGUAGCGUGAAGGAUGACUGCCCUAUGGGUUGUAAACUUCUUUUAUAUGGGAAUAAAGUGCAGUAUGUAUACUGCUUUGCAUGUACCUUAUGAAUAAGGAUCGGCUAACUCCGUGCCAGCAGCCGCGGUAAUACGGAGGAUGCGAGCGUUAUCCGGAUUUAUUGGGUUUAAAGGGUGCGCAGGCGGCACGGCAAGCCGGCGGUCAAAUCGCGGGGCUCAACCCCGCCCAGCCGUCGGAACUGCCGGGCUAGAGUGGGCGAGAAGUGCGCGGAAUGCGUGGUGUAGCGGUGAAAUGCAUAGAUAUCACGCAGAACUCCGAUUGUGAAGGCAGCGCACCGGCGCCCUACUGACGCUCAGGCACGAAAGCGUGGGUAUCGAACAGGAUUAGAUACCCCAGUAUG